Molecule: ribosomal RNA, 395 nt
Filed under: uncultured archaeon
Lineage: Archaea
Description: bacterial SSU rRNA
Rfam family: Archaeal small subunit ribosomal RNA
Source: RNAcentral
UGUGGCAGCAGCCGCGGUAACACCGGCAGCUCAAGUGGUAGCCGCUUUUAUUGGGCCUAAAGCGUCCGUAGCCGGUCUGAUAAGUCUCUGGUGAAAUCCCACAGCUUAACUGUGGGAAUUGCUGGAGAUACUAUCAUGACUCGAGGUCGGGAGAGGCUGGAGGUACUCCCAGGGUAGGGGUGAAAUCCUGUAAUCCUGGGAGGACCACCUGUGGCGAAGGCGUCCAGCUGGAACGAACCUGACGGUGAGGGACGAAAGCCAGGGGCGCGAACCGGAUUAGAUACCCGGGUAGUCCUGGCCGUAAACGAUGUGGACUUGGUGUUGGGAUGGCUUCGAGCUGCCCCAGUGCCGAAGGGAAGCUGUUAAGUCCACCGCCUGGAAGACCGCCCGCACAC